UUAUAAACCCAGAUGGUUGGAGUAUGUGACUGAUUGAUCAACCUUCACUAAGAAUGAGCAAGUAUCCUAUCCUACUUAUAAAGGUUGGAGUUGGUGGUGAGUUCAUGUAUGGGACCAACAAUCUUCACAAAUAAACAAAUGCACUCCUGCCCAUAUGUGGACUAGCAACGUUCAAAAGACAUAAAUAUAGAAAUGUAUUUUUAACUCACAUGUGAGACCCAGCAUAAAUAAAUAAAUAUGCUACUACUUUGAUGUGAGAUUAAAACUAUUUUAAAAGACACGUAAAUGCAAAAUGAGACUCCACCUCAAAAUCAUGCUCUGAGUAUUAGUUUUCCUUCCCAACCAAUUUUUCUAGCUCUAUAUCAUAGCAUAAGACAGCAAGCAAAUAAUAAUUCCAACCCCGAUGAUAGACCUCGUCCUCUUACGGUCUUACCUGAUCGACAACCUUGUGCAGUCAACUUACUAAUGUACAGCAUGUGUUCAAAUUUAAAAUGUUUUCUAAAGUACCUACUAUGGUCUCUUAAGAUUCUCCAACGCCCGUCACAUGAUUCCUAAUGGUACUUUUGCUUUCUUCUUAAUCGUGAACCACACAACGGCCGCCAGACACCAUUGUAUUUCGGUGAUUCCUAAUCUGGUGGGCUAAAUCCUCGUCUUCUUUAUGACUUCGUAGCAACACACGGGCAUCAUGCUAGUGAUCAAGUAAUUUUGAGCUCCUUGUUUUUGUGUACAACGACAACAACGACAACAAAGCCUUUAGUCCCAAACAAGUUGGGGUAGGCUAGAGGUGAAACACACAAGAUCUCGCGACCAACUCAUGGUUCUGGCACAUGGAUAGCAAGCUUCCAUGCACCACUCUCCAUGGCUAGUUCUUUGGUGAUGCUCCAAUCCUUCAGAUCUCUCUUUACGGACUCUUCCCGUGCUCCAAUCCUUGUUUCUGUGUGGCGUACACAAUAGUAUAGGUCUUCAACAUUACAUUGCAGAAGAAGCUCAUUGUAAAUAUUAGUGGACCCUCUGUGGCUCAGUACUAUAGAUCCUUAUAAACAAAUGAGACAGCAACUAUAAAUAUGCAACAAAAAUAUACAACAAUUGGGCUCAUUUUCAUAAAAAAGGAUAGAUAUAUGAAAUUAUGCACUUUACCUGAACCUAAAUGUCCAUCCACGCUGCUGAAAUAUCGUAUUGAACAUCGUACCUUAUAGUUGUGAAUAAUUAUAUAAGAUUAUCAUUUAGUAUUGAUGAUUGAGUACUGCAGUGCACUGCACAAUAUGUUUCUUGACAAGUUAACACAUCUUCUGUUCACUAAUGUAGGACGUUUUGGAUGUUUAAAUUGAACUGCCAAAGCGUCCUAAAUUAGUGAACAGUGGUAGCAGUUAUUAUCUCAACAUUUCGUUGAUACUUAAGAGUACUAUACAAACUGUAAACGUUAUGAGCUCACUAUCUUCUACUCCCUCCUGUUCUCUAGAAGCUGCCAUUUGGUAGCUUUCAAACUUUGAUUAUCAAUAUCUUUUAAAUUAUUCAGACAACAACAACAACAACAAAACCUUUAGUCCCAAACAAGUUGGGGUAGGCUAGAGGUGAAACUCAUAAGAUCUCGCGACCAACUCAUGGUUCUGGCACAUGGAUAGCAAGCUUCCACGCACCCCUGUCCAUGGCUAGUUCUUUGGUGAUGCUCCAAUCCUUCAGAUCUCUCUUUACGAACUCUUCCCAUGUCAAGUUCGGUCUACCCCUGCCUCUUUUGACAUUAUCCGCAUGCUUUAGCCGUCUGCCAUGUACCGGGGCUUCUGGAGGCCUGCGCUGAAUAUGCCCAAACCAUCUCAGACGAUGUUGGACAAGCUUCUCUUCAAUUGGCGCUACCCCAACUCUAUCUCGUAUAUCAUCAUUCCGGAUUCGGUCCUUCCUUGUGUGGCCACACAUCCAUCUCAACAUGCACAUCUCCUCCACACCUAACUGUUACACAUGUCGCCUUUUAGUAGGCCAACACUCCGUGCCAUACGACAUUGCGGGUCGAACCGCCGUCCUAUAGAACUUGCCUUUUAGCUUUUGUGGCACCCUCCUGUCACAAAGAAUGCCAGAAGCUUGGCGCCACUUCAGCCAUCCGGCUUUAAUUCGAUGGUUCACAUCUUCAUCGAUAUCCCUAUCCUUCUGCAACAUUGACCACAAAUAUCGGAAGGUAUCCUUCUGAGGCACCACCUGACCAUCAAGGCUUACAUCCUCCUCGUCCUCGUGCAUUGUAGUAUUGAAAGCGCACCUCAUGUACUCGGUUUUAGUCCUACUAAGUCUAAAACCUUUCAAUUCCAAGGUUUGCCUCCAUAACUCCAACUUCCUGUUGACCCUCGUCCGACUAUCAUCGACUAGCACCACAUCGUCCGCAAAGAGCAUACACCAUGGGAUAUCUCCUUGUAUAUCCCUUGUGACCUCAUCCAUCACCAAGGCAAAAAGAUAAGGGCUCAAAGCUUACCCCUGAUGCAGUCCUAUCUUAAUCGGGAAGUCAUCAGUGUCGCCAUCACUUGUUCGAACACUUGUCACAACAUUAUCAUACAUGUCCUUGAUGAGGGUAAUGUACUUUGCUGGGACUUUGUGUUUCUCCAAGGCCCACCACAUAACAUUCCGCGGUAUCUUGUCGUAGGCCUUCUCCAAGUCAAUGAACACCAUAUGCAGGUCCUUCUUUUUCUCCCUAUAUCUCUCCAUAAGUUGUCGUACCAAGAAAAUGGCUUCCAUGGUCGACCUUCCAGGCAUGAAACCAAACUGAUUUUUGGUCAUGCUUGUCAUUCUUCUUAAGCGGUGCUCAAUGACUCUCUCCCAUAGCUUCAUUGUAUGGCUCACUAGUUUAAUUCCACGGUAAUUAGUACAACUCUGAACAUCCCCCUUGUUCUUGAAGAUUGGUACUAAUAUACUCCGUCUCCAUUCUUCUGGCAUCUUGUUUGCCCGAAAAAUGAGGUUGAAAAGUUUGGUUAGCCAUACUAUCGCUAUGUCCCCGAGGCCUCUCCACUCCUCAAUGGGGAUACAAUCAGGGCCCAUCGCCUUGCCUCCUUUCAUCCUCUUUAAAGCCUCCUUGACCUCCGACUCUUGGAUUCGCAGCACAAAACGCCUGCUAGUAUCAUCAAAGGAGUCGUCCAGAUCAAUGGUAGAGCUCUCACUCUCCCCGUGGAACAACUUGUCAAAGUACUCCCGCCAUCUAUGCUUAAUCUCCUCGUUCUUCACCAAGAGUUGGUCUGCUCCGUCCUUGAUGCACUUGAUUUGGUCAACCUCCCUCGUCUUCCUCUCUUGGAUCUUCGCCAUCUUAUAGAUGUCCCUUUCGCCUUCCUUCGUGUCUAACCGUUGGUAGAGGUCCUCAUACGCCCGACCCCUUGCUUCACUCACAACUCGCUUUGCGGCCUUCUUUGCCAUCUUGUACUUCUCUAUGUUGUCUGCACUCCUAUCCAGACAUAGGCGUCUGAAACAAUCUUUCUUCUCCUUAAUUGCCUUUUGCACAUCAUCGUUCCACCACCAGGUAUCUUUAGCUUCUCUUCUACUUCCCCUGUACACUCCAAACUCCAUUGAGGCCACCUUACGAAUGCAAGUCGCCAUCUUCAUCCACAUGUUGUCUACAUCACCUCCUUCCUUCCAAGGGCCCUCCUUAACGACCUUCUCCUUGAAUGCCUGAGCUACCUCCCCCUUGAGCUUCCACCACUCCGUUCUACCGACUUUGGCACGCUUGUCCCGCUGGACACGAAUCCGAAAGCGGAAGUCAGCAACCACAAGCUUAUGCUGAGGGACAACACUCUCUCCAGGUAUCACCUUACAGUCUAGGCAUGCACGCCUGUCUUCUCUUCUCGAGAGGAUGAAAUCAAUCUGGUUAGAGCGUUGCCCUCUACUGUACGUCACUAGAUGUGAUUCUCUCUUCUUAAAGAGGGUGUUAGCUACGAUCAUGUCGUAGGCUAGCGCAAAGCUUAAGACAUCUUCUCCUUCUUAAAUUAUUCAGACAAGAUACUUAAAAUCAUAUGGAACAUUUUGUCUUGAAAAAUACUGAUAGUAUAUAAUUUCUUGUUGGGUUGUGUAAAUAUGUUGAAGGGGAGCCUUGGCGCAGCGAUAAAGCUGUUGCCUUGUGACCAUCAGGUCACUGGUUCGAAAGGCUGCGUACAAAAGACCCAAAGUGGUCAGACCCUUCCCCAGACCCGUGGGAGCUACGUGCACCGGGCUGUCCUUUUUUGUGUAAAUAUGUUACAAUAGAAAAUAGUGACCAAAGUUCUAGUUUGGACACCAUGCCAGUGUCCAAGAUGAUAGCUUUUCGAGAACUGGAGGAAGUAUUCAUUUUUAUCAAAUUUAUUUAUUACCACCUCCAUAACUAAAUAUAAGACGUUUUUGCUGUUCAAUUUAAACUGCAAAAAAGUCUUAUAUUUAGUUACAGAUGGAGUAUUUAUGAUGUACAUCAGAAUUGUUGUGAAAUGAAUUCAUAUUAAUAAGCUUUUGUGCUAUCUCUUUUCAACAGCGGAUGGUGAGCUCUUCGUUUGGGGCAAAAAUUCGAGUGGCCAGCUUGGCCUUGGCAAAAGUAAUAACAUUUUCCUUACAUUCUUAGCACCAUCCAUGGCUAUAUCCCCACUUCAUGCAAUAUGUGAUAAUUGAAUGUUUGGACUGGUUUAACAAUUUGGCGUUAUCAACAGUGGCCUGUUUUACACUGGUGGGUGUGGGGUCAUUUAUCCAACUAAAAUCUAAAACAUCAAUUUCCCUCAAAAGAAAAGAAAAAUCUAAAACAUCUGUGUCUAAGAUUGACUUGUACAUAUUGCUUGAGCACUUAAGCUCCAGUUUGUCCUAGCUGUCUUUCCAUCAUCACAUGUAGCAUCAUCAUGCUUCUGUUAAGAUUUACUCGCUAAUAUAAUAGGCCAUUGUUUCGUUCAUCAAUAAUCUUGCUAUUAAGCUGAACAUUUGCCACCAGUUUAAAAUUCUGAAUUAAAGAGCCCUUCCUACUUGGUUUAGGUGCAGGAAAAGUAGUCUCUACCCCAAGAAAGGUUGACUACUUGGCUGAUGUUAGAGUGAAAAUGACUGCUUUGGGAUCAGAGCACUCAAUUGUUGUUACAGGUGAAUGCGCUACGUAUUUGCGUUAUAGAACUUGAACAUUACUGCUUUUGAGUGUCUGAAAUUCUCCUGUUAUUUCCCUCUUAAGAGGAUGGUGAAGCCUUGAGUUGGGGAGCUGCUGGUGGUGGUAGACUUGGACAUGGCCAUAAAUCUAGCUUCCUGGGAUUCGCUAUGACCUCAAAGUAAGAUUACAAGUUUUUGGACAGCACUUAUUGUGGACACACCACUCUAUCUUCUGGGAUAGCUCAUGUUGUCAUUUAUUUGGAAAAUAUGGACAUAGUAAUACCUUAACCAUAAGAAUGCAAAAUUCUCGAUCAGAAGCUGGCACUUAUGUACUUAAAAGGUAAUGUUCAUCUCAUAACAAAUUCACAUGUCACAAACUUAAUUGCCAAAGUUCCUAGUUUCGAGAUGAUGUAGUAUGAGCUUGAGAAAAGCCCUGGGUGGUAUUAUGUUGGAUGGUUUGGAUUUGUUUGCACUAUUUUAAAACUACAUUUGUCUAGAAGGAUGAUUACUGAUAAUCUGAUCUUCAUCUGUGCAGUGAAUAUACUCCAAGGUUGAUCAAAAACCUUGAUGGCAUCAAGGUAUUUUGUUUUAAGUUUCACUGUCCUGAUCAAAUAAUGAUCCCCUUCUUAUUGUUCAUGUCCUUGCAUUGAAUAGAUUAAAAGGAUAGCUGCGGGAAUGCUGCACUCAGCUUGCAUUGACGGUAAGCUCAUGGAAAAAUUGUUUAAAGUAGUACACUAGUCAACUUCUGACCAUGAUUUCUCUUUCUUACGUGCUCCUUGCAUCAAAAUUGCAGAAAAAGGUACUGUGUUCAUCUUUGGGCAGAAGACUGAGAAGGUGGUAUCCAAUCAGGCCUCCUGGGACGUUUUUUUACUGUUUUUAUUGAGAUUUUUUCUUGGCCAUAAAUCUAGCUUCCUGGGAUUUUCCUUGUAUUUAACCCAAAAUUACAGGUACUUGGAAGAUCAAAUGAUGCACCUAGACCAAGUGUUGUUGAAGAGAUACAAUUUUCAGAAGAAGUUGCUUGUGGAGGUUAUCAUACUUGCGCUGUAACAGGUAUCAGUUGUGCAUGCAGAAAUCAAAAGAGGAGCAUUGAUUUCUAUUCCUGACAGUAAUUUGUUAGAUCGCAUCAGCUGUUUUCAGAAUAAAAUAAGUAAUUAGAUAAAAACUUUGGUCAUAUGCAUUUGCACAUAUUUCUUGUGGAAUAGAUUCGGUCUUAAAAUAAGGAGACCCAGUUCUAGAAGCUCCCACACCAGGUGGGGUCUAGGGAAGGAUCAUACGAGGAAAGCCUUAUCCCUGCACAGUGCAAUGCAGGGAGGCUGUGUCGAACCCAGGACCUCUUGGCACAAGUGGGGAGUACUUUACCACUAAACGAGGCCUGUCCUUCAAAUUCGGUCUCCAAAUAAAAAAACAGACCGGAGACCUUUCUAGUACGAAUCAGUCCGAGUUUGCCUGAGCCAACUGCGAGCGAUGCUCCGCUCCGCUCCCCUCUCCCUCCGCGCUCCGCUCGCCUAGCCACCGCGCCGCGCCGCCCGGACUGCCCCGCCGGCAGCACCCUCCCCGCCCCUCGCGCCAUGGCUCUGGUGCUGGCUGACCCUGUCGACCGCCGGACGUCCCUCUCCGGCGAGCGCGUCUCCUAUGGGGACUGCAGCUCUGGCUCGGAGAGCGGCUCGUCGGCGCGCUCGUACAGCGACGUCGCCCGCACCCCGCCGGCCGUCCCCGCGCCGUCGGCCGCCGCCGCUCCUGGCUGCGUUGCUCCCGCGGCCCGUCCUCCCGCCAAAGAUCGCCUUGGCCCCCGCUCGGAGGUCCGCCGUGUCUCGGGCGGGCCGGUGCUGGACGCAGAUGGGUUCCAGCAGGCUCGUCGCCGAGAGCAUCGCCGUCGCCCGCGCCGGGAGGCCCCUGCCAGGCCCUCGACCUCGCGCCGCCGCAACCCUUCCCCCGAGGAGCUCGCGGGCCUCUGCUUCCGGUGCCUCCACCAUCGCCACUGCGUCCGGGAUUGCCCUAACGACAUUCGCUGCCUUGCCUCCGGUCACUCCUCUCGGGACUGUGAUGGUAGGCGGCCCGCGGCCGCGACCCAGCGAUCCCCGCGCAACGCCCCGGUCCUGCAGACCCGGCUUCCUCGCGCUGCCCCUCCCCCAGUGGCGCGCCCCGCUCCCGUCCUGCUGGCUCCAGCCCCCUCCCCACCUCCGGCCUUGCCGGCCGCGGACGCGCCCCCCCCCGUGUGUUCAUGGCGCAGACCGAGGAGAUGGACGAGGCCGAGCUGGUGCUCGCCCGCGCGAUGGUGGCUUCGGUCACGGGCACUCGCCCCUCCGUGUCCAUUGACGAGGUCGCCGCGCUGCUCCUCGGCUCCCUCGAGCUCGAGGAAGGAGACUUCACGGUUCACCAGCACCAUCCCGAAGACUUCCUGAUCAUCUUCUCCUCCCUGGCUAUCACGCGGCGGCUUCGUGGCGAGCACUUCAUCAGCUCCGCCCGCUUCUCGCUGUCGCUCCGGCCCUGGUGCAAGCUCGCCCACGCCGGUGCCGGCGAGCUCGAGUACCGCGUCGAGCUGGAGCUCCGCGGCAUCCCCGCUCACGCCUGGUUGCUCUCCACUGUCGAACACCUGCUGGGAGACUGCUGCUGGAUUGAGAGACUUCACCCCCGCACUCGUUCCCGCGACGACAUGGCGGUCUUCCGCGUCUCAGGGCGCGCGCACGACCCGGCUGCCAUCCGGCGCGCCGCCGUCCCGGAAAUCGUCGAGCAGCUGCCCGGCCGCGUGCCCUCGGAGGCGUCGGCCGUCAGAACGCUCACGUUCCCGGUGGCCAUCGCCCUCACCAAGGCCGAGAUGAUCCGACCCGCUCCAGCCGCUCCCCACCCCUCCGGCAAUGGUGGCGAGGCUGACGAUGCUACUGGCAGGCAUGGCCUUGGGCCGAGCAAGGGGCAGGGCCCUGGCAAUGGACGCGCGCGCCGGCGGGGCCGCAAACGUCGACGAACGGACGGGGCGCAGGCCGGGCGGAUGGCAUGGCAGUGGACGCUCUGGUGCUGCAUGCCCACGGCGGUGUCUCCGGCCGCUCCGGCGGUGCCUGUACGGUUGCGCCCUGGCCGUCCUCGGCCGCACCGCGACAGGGGCGCCGCCCCACGCGCCAGGAGAUGCUCGCCUGGCCCGGUCAGCAGGGGCCUGCACGCCCGCGCCAGGGGCCCGCAGUGACGCCCAAAGCCACUUUGCCGGUGGCCCCAUCGCUAGCUGCCAACUCCCCCCCCCCUAUGACGGCNNNNNNNNNNNNNNNNNNNNNNNNNNNNNNNNNNNNNNNNNNNNNNNNNNNNNNNNNNNNNNNNNNNNNNNNNNNNNNNNNNNNNNNNNNNNNNNNNNNNNNNNNNNNNNNNNNNNNNNNNNNNNNNNNNNNNNNNNNNNNNNNNNNNNNNNNNNNNNNNNNNNNNNNNNNNNNNNNNNNNNNNNNNNNNNNNNNNNNNNNNNNNNNNNNNNNNNNNNNNNNNNNNNNNNNNNNNNNNNNNNNNNNNNNNNNNNNNNNNNNNNNNNNNNNNNNNNNNNNNNNNNNNNNNNNNNNNNNNNNNNNNNNNNNNNNNNNNNNNNNNNNNNNNNNNNNNNNNNNNNNNNNNNNNNNNNNNNNNNNNNNNNNNNNNNNNNNNNNNNNNNNNNNNNCCCCCCCCCUAUGACGGCGCGACGACUGGCAGUGGGAUGGGUGGCACGCCCCCAUUCGCUGGACGAGGACCGGAGGGGGCCGCUGAUUCAAACCCGCCCUUGACCGAGGAUGCUUCGCCCGGGCCCGCCACUACUGCGCCCGAUCCCACACCCCGUCGGGAUCGCUGCCAGCUACGACCGGCUCCUGCAAAGCAACCAGACGGGACGAUCCUCCCUGUCCCUCCUGCAGCCUUGUCUGGACCGAAGGGGGCGAGGAUCUCCUUUGCCCCCCUGCACCGCCGCAGCCCCUCCCUGCAAAGCCCCAGCAGGCCCACGCGCGCACUCACGUCGGGGAGGCGGGACGCGAUCUGCACGCUCCCGCCAAUUCGGCCAUGCCCGCCCCGUCCCCACCGGCCCCAGCUGUCACCCCGGGGCCCGCGGAGGUUGGUGUUGCUGCCCCUGCCCCUGCACGCGCGGUAGCUGACCUGGCCGGGCUGGCUGCUGCUGCGAAUGGGCCCAGGACCUGGGAUAUCGCUGCCCCUGGGGCCGCGCCGGUUGAGACACCCGCGCUAACUGCCAUGCCUGUCGGGACGCACGGGCCCGCGACGCCCACAGAGCCGUCGACCCUGCCGCGCGUGAUACCGGGCUCUUCCCCCUGCCCAGGGCACCUCUCGAUACUGCUGAGACCCACGCCCAGGCAGGACUCCUCCCCCCGCGCUGCUAGCACUAGCACCCGUGCUCUGGUCCCUGGUCGCUUCGCCUCGCCGCCGAUCACCCUGCAGCGACGGCGCAACUGCCACGCCCCCAGCCAGCCCUGGACGCUGGGUGCCUUCCUCUCCGCGGCCACCAAGCAGCUCGAUGCCGUUCUGCCCUCACCCGGGAAGCGGCAGCGCCCCGCCCUCAACUUCAGUCCCAGGAGGGGACGUUCCACAGCCGCCGACAAAGCCAGGGCUCCUUGCGCAUCAGAUCGGCGCGCGGUGGUGCAGAUUCUGCGCACCCUCGGCAUUGUGGGGGUGAACCAGCAGAUUACCGCCACAGAGAUGA
RNAcentral lists this long non-coding RNA (9706 nucleotides) under Hordeum vulgare. RNAcentral's name for it is "long non-coding RNA (HVUL_LNC000437)". Lineage: Eukaryota; Viridiplantae; Streptophyta; Magnoliopsida; Poales; Poaceae. The record is from RNAcentral.